AGUGAACGCUGGCGGUAGGCCUAACACAUGCAAGUCGAACGGCAGCACAGUAAGAGCUUGCUCUUACGGGUGGCGAGUGGCGGACGGGUGAGGAAUACAUCGGAAUCUACUUUUUCGUGGGGGAUAACGUAGGGAAACUUACGCUAAUACCGCAUACGACCUACGGGUGAAAGCAGGGGAUCUUCGGACCUUGCGCGAUCGAAUGAGCCGAUGUCGGAUUAGCGAGUUGGCGGGGUAAAGGCCCACCAAGGCGACGAUCCGUAGCUGGUCGGAGAGGAUGAUCAGCCACACUGGAACUGAGACACGGUCCAGACUCCUACGGGAGGCAGCAGUGGGGAAUAUUGGACAAUGGGCGCAAGCCUGAUCCAGCCAUACCGCGUGGGUGAAGAAGGCCUUCGGGUUGGAAAGCCCUUGUGUUGGGAAAGAAAAGCAGCAGGUUAAUACCCCGCUGUUCUGACGGUACCCAAAGAAUAAGCACCGGCUAACUUCGUG
RNAcentral lists this ribosomal RNA (492 nucleotides) under uncultured bacterium. Its description in RNAcentral is "partial 16S ribosomal RNA". It matches the Rfam family "Bacterial small subunit ribosomal RNA", at positions 29 to 507 of the family's 1533-position model. The record is from RNAcentral.